AGUGAACGCUGGCGGUAGGCCUAACACAUGCAAGUCGAACGGCAGCACAGUAAGAGCUUGCUCUUACGGGUGGCGAGUGGCGGACGGGUGAGGUAUACAUCGGAAUCUACUUUUUCGUGGGGGAUAACGUAGGGAAACUUACGCUAAUACCGCAUACGACCUACGGGUGAAAGCAGGGGAUCUUCGGACCUUGCGCGAUUGAAUGAGCCGAUGUCGGAUUAGCUAGUUGGCGGGGUAAAGGCCCACCAAGGCGACGAUCCGUAGCUGGUGUGAGAGGAUGAUCAGCCACACUGGAACUGAGACACGGUCCAGACUCCUACGGGCGGCAGCAGUGGGGAAUAUUGGACGAUGGGCGCAAUCCUGAUCCAGCCAUACCGCGUGGGUGAAGCAGGCCUUCGGGUUGUAAAGCCCUUUUGUUGGGAAAGAAAAGCAGCAGGUUAAUACCCCGCUGUUCUGACGGUACCCAAAGAAUAAGCACCGGCUAACUUCGUG
Molecule: ribosomal RNA, 492 nt
Filed under: uncultured bacterium
Lineage: Bacteria
Description: partial 16S ribosomal RNA
Rfam family: Bacterial small subunit ribosomal RNA
Source: RNAcentral